GAAAAAUAAAAAAUUUUCAAAACUAAAGUUUAAUUAUAUAAUAACCAUUAUCUUUACUAUUAACUAAAUGUAGGCUAAUCAGACAUAAAAGACCAAACGUUUUCACUUAUUGGCAAUUAUACUAAAAACGUUUUAAUUUUGGAUCACGUAUCCCAACAUUUAAUUUUGAGAGUAAUUGUAUCCAAAACUCAAAAUCUUAUGGUUCAUUUUGUUAUCCACAACAAGAUGAAUUGACUAUAAACUAUUUUUCCCCCUUUCUUUUUGUUAUUAAUAACUAUUUCAGGUGGACAAAAUUCAAAAUCUCCCAAAUUAAUUUUAAGGUUUUGGCUACAAUUGCUUCUAAUAUUAAAGGUUGGGAUGAGUGGUUCAAAAUUAGAAUGUUUGACUAUAAAUGUCAAUUAGGAAUAACGUUA
This 413-nucleotide unclassified non-coding RNA is filed under the name Hevea brasiliensis (rubber tree). Lineage: Eukaryota; Viridiplantae; Streptophyta; Magnoliopsida; Malpighiales; Euphorbiaceae. The record is from RNAcentral.